This 795-nucleotide ribosomal RNA is filed under the name uncultured Rhodobacterales bacterium. Its description in RNAcentral is "bacterial SSU rRNA". It matches the Rfam family "Bacterial small subunit ribosomal RNA", at positions 85 to 916 of the family's 1533-position model. The record is from RNAcentral. Lineage: Bacteria; Pseudomonadati; Pseudomonadota; Alphaproteobacteria; Rhodobacterales.
CUUCGGGUGAGCGGCGGACGGGUUAGUAACGCGUGGGAACGUGCCCUUCUCUACGGAAUAGCCUCUGGAAACGGAGAGUAAUACCGUAUACGCCCUUUGGGGGAAAGAUUUAUCGGAGAAGGAUCGGCCCGCGUUAGAUUAGGUAGUUGGUGGGGUAACGGCCUACCAAGCCUACGAUCUAUAGCUGGUUUUAGAGGAUGAUCAGCAACACUGGGACUGAGACACGGCCCAGACUCCUACGGGAGGCAGCAGUGGGGAAUCUUAGACAAUGGGGGCAACCCUGAUCUAGCCAUGCCGCGUGAGUGAUGAAGGCCUUAGGGUCGUAAAGCUCUUUCGCCUGUGAUGAUAAUGACAGUAGCAGGUAAAGAAACCCCGGCUAACUCCGUGCCAGCAGCCGCGGUAAUACGGAGGGGGUUAGCGUUGUUCGGAAUUACUGGGCGUAAAGCGCGCGUAGGCGGAUUAGAAAGUUGGGGGUGAAAUCCCGGGGCUCAACCCCGGAACUGCCUCCAAAACUGCUAGUCUAGAGUUCGAGAGAGGUGAGUGGAAUUCCGAGUGUAGAGGUGAAAUUCGUAGAUAUUCGGAGGAACACCAGUGGCGAAGGCGGCUCACUGGCUCGAUACUGACGCUGAGGUGCGAAAGUGUGGGGAGCAAACAGGAUUAGAUACCCUGGUAGUCCACACCGUAAACGAUGAAUGCCAGUCGUCGGAUAGUAUACUAUUCGGUGACACACCUAACGGAUUAAGCAUUCCGCCUGGGGAGUACGGUCGCAAGAUUAAAACUUAAAGGAAUUGACGG